AACGAACGCUGGCGGCAUGCCUAACACAUGCAAGUCGAACGAGACCUUCGGGUCUAGUGGCGCACGGGUGCGUAACGCGUGGGAACCUGCCCUUAGGUUCGGAAUAACUCCCCGAAAGGGGUGCUAAUACCGGAUAAUGUCUUCGGACCAAAGAUUUAUCGCCUUUGGAUGGGCCCGCGUGGGAUUAGCUAGUUGGUAGGGUAAAAGCCUACCAAGGCGACGAUCCAUAGCUGGUCAGAGAGGAUGAUCAGCCACACUGGGACUGAGACACGGCCCAGACUCCUACGGGAGGCAGCAGUGGGGAAUAUUGGACAAUGGGCGAAAGCCUGAUCCAGCAAUGCCGCGUGAGUGAUGAAGGCCUUAGGGUUGUAAAGCUCUUUUACCCGGGAUGAUAAUGACAGUACCGGGAGAAUAAGCUCCGGCUAACUCCGUG
RNAcentral lists this ribosomal RNA (433 nucleotides) under uncultured bacterium. RNAcentral's name for it is "partial 16S ribosomal RNA". It matches the Rfam family "Bacterial small subunit ribosomal RNA", at positions 29 to 507 of the family's 1533-position model. The record is from RNAcentral.